RNAcentral lists this ribosomal RNA (1795 nucleotides) under Durio zibethinus. RNAcentral describes it as "SSU rRNA". It matches the Rfam family "Eukaryotic small subunit ribosomal RNA". Lineage: Eukaryota; Viridiplantae; Streptophyta; Magnoliopsida; Malvales; Malvaceae. The record is from RNAcentral.
CCUCAUUGAUCCUGCUAGUAGUCAUAUGGAUGUUUCAAAGAUUAAGCCAUGCAUUUAUAAUUAUAAACUAAUUUAGACUGUGAAACUAUGAAUAGCUCAUUAAAUCAGUUUUAAUUUGUUUAAUGGUAUCACUACUCAGAUAACUAUAGUAAUUCUAAGCUAAUAUGUGCAAAAACCCCGACUUCUAAAAAGGAUGCAAUUAUUAGAUAAAAGGUCGAUGUGGGCUUUGCCCAUUGUUUUGAUGAUUCAUGAUAACUCGAUGGAUUACAAGGCCUUUUGUGCUGAUGGCACAUCAUUCAAAUUUCUACCUUAUCAAUUUUUAAUGGUAGGAUAGUGGCUUACUAUGGUGGUGACAGGUGAUGGAGAACUAGGGUUUGAUUCUAGAGAGGGAGCCUAAAAAAUUGCUACCACAUCUAAAGAAGGCAAUAGGCACAUAAAUUACCCAAUCAUGACAUAGGAAGGUAGCGAUAAUAAAUAGCAAUACCAAGCUCUAUGAGUCUAGUAAUUGGAAUGAGUACAAUCUAAAUCCCUUAAUGAGGACCCAUUGGAGGGUAAGUCUAAUGCUAGUGGCCUUAGUAUUUCCAACUCCAAUAGCAUAUAUUUAAGUUGUUAUAGUUAAAAAGCUCAUAGUUGGAACUAGGAUUGGGUCAUCCAGUCUACCUCAUGGUGAUCAUUAGUCUACUCAUCCCUACCAUCAGUAAUGAGCUUUCAGCCUUAAGUAGCUGGGUUAUUCAUCUAGCACUAUUACUUUGGGGAAAUUAGAGUGCUCAAAGUGGGUCUAUACUUGUAUACAUUAGCAUGGGAUAACAUCAUAGGAUUUCAAUCCUAUUGUGUUGACCUUUGGGAACAGAGUAAUGAUUAAUAGGGAUAGUCAGGGGCAUUCAUGUAUCAUUAUCAGAGGCAAAAUUUUUGGAUUUAUGAAAGAUGAACAAUUGCAAAAGCAUUUGCUAAUGAUGUUUUCAUUAAUCAAGAAUGAAAGUUGGGGGCUCGAAGACAAUCAAAUAUCAUCCUAGUUUCAACCAUAAAUGUGCCAACUAAAGAUCGACAAAUGUUACUUAUAGGAUUUCAUUGGCUCUUUAUGAGAAAUCAAAGUCUUUAGGUUAUGUUGGGAGUAUGGUCACAAUGCUAAAAAUUAAAAGAAUUGAUGGAAGGGCACCACUAAGAAUGGAAACUACAGCUUAAUUUGACUUAACAUGGGGAAACUUACGGGGUCUAAACAUAGUAAGGAUUGAUAGACUGAGAGCUCUUUCUUGAUUCUAUGGGUGGUGGUGCAUGGCCAUUCUUAGUUGGUGGAGCUAUUUGUCUAGUUAAUUCCAUUAAGGAAUAAGGCCUCAACUUGCUAGCUAGCUACACAAAGGUGAUCUUUUAUGGCUAGCUUAUUAGAGGGACUAUGGUCAUUUAGGCCUAAGAAGUUUGAAGGAAUGACAGGUCUAUGAUGCCCUUAGAUGUUUUGAGCUAUACGUUUGCUACACUGAUGUAUUCAACAAGUAUAUAGCCUUGGCCAAUAGGCCCAAGUAAUGUUUGAAAUUUCAACAUGAUAGGGAUAGAUCAUCAUAAUUGUUGGUCUUCAAUGAGGAAUUCCUAGUAAGUGCGAGUCAUUAGCUCACAUUGACUACAUUCUUGCCCUUUGUACACACCACUUGUCACUCAUACCAAUUGAAUGGUCUAUUGUAGUGUUUAGAUCGUGACAACAUGGAUAGUUCACUACCCAUGACAUCACAAGAAGUCAAUUGAACCUCAGCAUUUAGAGGAAGGAGAAGUCGUAACAAGGUUUCUAUAGGUGAACCAACAGAAG